CGUGGAGCAUGUGGUUAAUUCGACGCAACGCGAAAACUUACCUGGCUUGACAUGCUGGUAGUAGUGAACCGAAAGGGAAACGAUCCUGAGCAAUCAGGAAGCCAACACAGGUGCUGCAUGGCUGUCGUCAGCUCGUGUCGUGAGAUGUUGGGUUAAGUCCCGUAACGAGCGCAACCCCUAUUGUUAGUUGCCAUCAUUCAGUUGGGCACUCUAGCGAGACUGCCGGUAAUAAACCGGAGGAAGGUGGGGAUGACGUCAAAUCAUCAUGCCCCUUAUGACCUGGGCUACACACGUGCUACAAUGGUUGGUACAACGAGUUGCGAGUCGGUGACGGCGAGCUAAUCUCUUAAAGCCAAUCUCAGUUCGGAUUGUAGGCUGCAACUCGCCUACAUGAAGUCGGAAUCGCUAGUAAUCGCGGAUCAGCACGCCGCGGUCGAAUACGUUCCCGGGCCUU
This 454-nucleotide ribosomal RNA is filed under the name uncultured Streptococcus sp. Its description in RNAcentral is "bacterial SSU rRNA". It matches the Rfam family "Bacterial small subunit ribosomal RNA", at positions 931 to 1382 of the family's 1533-position model. The record is from RNAcentral. Lineage: Bacteria; Bacillati; Bacillota; Bacilli; Lactobacillales; Streptococcaceae.